Molecule: transfer RNA, 308 nt
Filed under: Francisella philomiragia
Lineage: Bacteria; Pseudomonadati; Pseudomonadota; Gammaproteobacteria; Thiotrichales; Francisellaceae
Description: 16S-23S ribosomal RNA intergenic spacer
Rfam family: tRNA (bases 97-170)
Source: RNAcentral
ACGGAAAUACGAAAAAAUAGAAAUAAGCUCUAAAUACAUAUUCAAGUGAUUUAGCAUAGUGUUUGUAGAUAAUAUAUUUUAGUGUAAAUAGAAUACGGGUCUGUAGCUCAGUUGGUUAGAGCGCACCCCUGAUAAGGGUGAGGUCGGUAGUUCGAGUCUACUCAGACCCACCAGUAAUUUUGGGGCCAUAGCUCAGCUGGGAGAGCACCUGCUUUGCACGCAGGGGGUCAGCGGUUCGAUCCCGCUUGGCUCCACCAUAUUUAUUUACACGAAGAUAGAGAUAUUUUAACAAUUUAGUAUAGAAAUAG